Vigna angularis (adzuki bean) is the source of this 321-nucleotide long non-coding RNA. RefSeq lists it as uncharacterized. The record is from RefSeq and is a predicted model, not a curated record. NCBI's taxonomy places the organism in Eukaryota, Viridiplantae, Streptophyta, Magnoliopsida, Fabales, Fabaceae. The transcript has 2 exons.
AGUAGUUUCAGAGCUUGAAGAAUUUUCAUCGAUAUGGAGAGAAAAACAACAUUAGGGUUUAUGCUGCUUCUCAUGGUAAUCUUUGCUUCUGAUGUGGCCGUGAAGAGAACAGAUGCCACAAUAUGUACAGUGCCGAGCAAGACGUUCAAGUAUGAAUGCUUCAGCGAUCCCAGUUGUGACAGUGUAUGUAAAACCGAAGGUUAUACCAGCGGCAAGUGCGAAGGUGUCCUUCAUCGAUGCAUGUGUACCAAAACUAAUUGUUGAAAUUUAUUCGCUUUUCUUUCAAUAAAAACCCAAUAUAUCCAUUUAUUAACCAUCUUA